RNAcentral lists this ribosomal RNA (384 nucleotides) under uncultured bacterium. RNAcentral's name for it is "bacterial SSU rRNA". It matches the Rfam family "Bacterial small subunit ribosomal RNA", at positions 30 to 416 of the family's 1533-position model. The record is from RNAcentral.
AUUGAACGCUGGCGGCAUGCCUUACACAUGCAAGUCGAACGGCAGCGGACCUUCGGGUGCCGGCGAGUGGCGAACGGGUGAGUAAUAUAUCGGAACGUACCUUUCAGUGGGGGAUAACGUAGCGAAAGUUACGCUAAUACCGCAUAUUCUGUGAGCAGGAAAGCAGGGGAUCGCAAGACCUUGCGCUGAUUGAGCGGCCGAUAUCAGAUUAGCUAGUUGGUGAGGUAAAGGCUCACCAAGGCGACGAUCUGUAGCGGGUCUGAGAGGAUGAUCCGCCACACUGGAACUGAGACACGGUCCAGACUCCUACGGGAGGCAGCGGUGGGGAAUUUUGGACAAUGGGCGCAAGCCUGAUCCAGCCAUGCCGCGUGAGUGAAGAAGGCC